CUGGCUCAGGACGAACGCUGGCGGCGUGCCUAAUACAUGCAAGUCGAGCGAACAGAGAAGGAGCUUGCUCCUUCGACGUUAGCGGCGGACGGGUGAGUAACACGUGGGCAACCUACCUUAUAGUUUGGGAUAACUCCGGGAAACCGGGGCUAAUACCGAAUAAUCUGUUUCACCUCAUGGUGAAACACUGAAAGACGGUUUCGGCUGUCGCUA
RNAcentral lists this ribosomal RNA (213 nucleotides) under Lysinibacillus fusiformis. RNAcentral's name for it is "16S rRNA. Bacterial SSU". It matches the Rfam family "Bacterial small subunit ribosomal RNA", at positions 19 to 220 of the family's 1533-position model. Lineage: Bacteria; Bacillati; Bacillota; Bacilli; Caryophanales; Bacillaceae. The record is from RNAcentral.